This 253-nucleotide ribosomal RNA is filed under the name uncultured bacterium. RNAcentral's name for it is "partial 16S ribosomal RNA". It matches the Rfam family "Bacterial small subunit ribosomal RNA", at positions 524 to 776 of the family's 1533-position model. The record is from RNAcentral.
UACGUAGGGUGCAAGCGUUGUCCGGAAUUAUUGGGCGUAAAGAGCUCGUAGGCGGUUUGUCGCGUCGAAUGUGAAAACCCGGGGCUCAACCCCGGGCCUGCAUUCGAUACGGGCAGACUAGAGUUCGGUAGGGGAGUCUGGAAUUCCUGGUGUAGCGGUGAAAUUCGCAGAUAUCAGGAGGAACACCGGUGGCGAAGGCGGGACUCUGGGCCGAUACUGACGCUGAGGAGCGAAAGCGUGGGGAGCAAACAGG